AGAUGAAGAGGUUGUUCUUGGACAAUAUGAAGGCUAUAAGGAUGACCCAACAGUUCCUAACAACUCAAAUACUCCUACUUUUGCAACUAUGGUUUUACGCAUACACAAUGAAAGAUGGGAAGGUGUCCCCUUUAUAAUGAAGGCUGGAAAAGCACUAAAUUCAAGAAAGGCAGAAAUACGAGUGCAGUUUAAGGAUGUUCCUGG
This 204-nucleotide unclassified non-coding RNA is filed under the name Hevea brasiliensis (rubber tree). The record is from RNAcentral. Lineage: Eukaryota; Viridiplantae; Streptophyta; Magnoliopsida; Malpighiales; Euphorbiaceae.